This 582-nucleotide ribosomal RNA is filed under the name uncultured bacterium. RNAcentral's name for it is "bacterial SSU rRNA". It matches the Rfam family "Bacterial small subunit ribosomal RNA", at positions 102 to 670 of the family's 1533-position model. The record is from RNAcentral.
ACGGGUGAGUAACACGUGGGCAACCUGCCCUUGAGACUGGGAUAACUUCGGGAAACCGGAGCUAAUACCGGAUAAUAUAAGGAACCUCCUGGUUCCUUAUUGAAAGAUGGUUUCGGCUAUCACUUAAGGAUGGGCCCGCGGCGCAUUAGCUAGUUGGUGAGGUAACGGCUCACCAAGGCGACGAUGCGUAGCCGACCUGAGAGGGUGAUCGGCCACACUGGGACUGAGACACGGCCCAGACUCCUACGGGAGGCAGCAGUAGGGAAUCUUCCACAAUGGACGAAAGUCUGAUGGAGCAACGCCGCGUGAGUGAUGAAGGCCUUCGGGUCGUAAAGCUCUGUUAUUAGGGAAGAACAAGUGCGAGAGUAACUGCUCGCACCUUGACGGUACCUAACCAGAAAGCCACGGCUAACUACGUGCCAGCAGCCGCGGUAAUACGUAGGUGGCAAGCGUUAUCCGGAAUUAUUGGGCGUAAAGCGCGCGCAGGUGGUUUCUUAAGUCUGAUGUGAAAGCCCACGGCUCAACCGUGGAGGGUCAUUGGAAACUGGGGAACUUGAGUGCAGAAGAGGAAAGUGGAAUUCC